Molecule: ribosomal RNA, 460 nt
Filed under: uncultured bacterium
Lineage: Bacteria
Description: partial 16S ribosomal RNA
Rfam family: Bacterial small subunit ribosomal RNA
Source: RNAcentral
GCUACGGGAGGCAGCAGUGAGGAAUAUUGGUCAAUGGGCGGAAGCCUGAACCAGCCAAGUCGCGUGAGGGAUUAAGGCCCUGCGGGUCGUAAACCUCUUUUGCCGGGGAGCAGUGGUCCGGACGCGUCCGGACCGGGAGAGUACCCGGGGAAAAAGCACCGGCUAACGCCGUGCCAGCAGCCGCGGUAAUACGGAGGAUGCGGGGGUUUUCCGGGUUGAUUGGGUUAAAAGGGUGCGUAGGCGGGCAUUUAGGUCGGUGGGAAAAUGUCGGGGCUAAAACGCGGCCUGCCGUCGGAACUGGGUGCCUUGAGUGGGCGAGAAGUAUGCGGAAUGCGUGGUGUAGCGGUGAAAUGCAUAGAUAGCACGCAGAACCCCGAUUGCGAAGGCAGCAUACCGGCGCCCUACUGACGCUGAGGCACGAAAGUGCGGGUAUCGAACAGGAUUAGAUACCCUAGUAGUC